CUUGCUUUCUUUGCUGGCGACCGGCGCACGGGUGAGUAACACGUAUCCAACCUGCCCUUUACUCGGGGAUAGCCUUUCGAAAGAAAGAUUAAUACCCGAUAGCAUAAUGAUUCCGCAUGGUUUCAUUAUUAAAGGAUUCCGGUAAAGGAUGGGGAUGCGUUCCAUUAGGUUGUUGGUGAGGUAACGGCCCACCAAGCCUUCGAUGGAUAGGGGUUCUGAGAGGAAGGUCCCCCACAUUGGAACUAAGACACGGUCCAA
RNAcentral lists this ribosomal RNA (258 nucleotides) under uncultured bacterium. Its description in RNAcentral is "partial 16S ribosomal RNA". It matches the Rfam family "Bacterial small subunit ribosomal RNA", at positions 75 to 334 of the family's 1533-position model. The record is from RNAcentral.